Molecule: ribosomal RNA, 115 nt
Filed under: Zingiber officinale
Lineage: Eukaryota; Viridiplantae; Streptophyta; Magnoliopsida; Zingiberales; Zingiberaceae
Source: RNAcentral
GCGAUAACACCAGCACUAAUGCACCGGAUCCCAUCAGAACUCCGAUGUUAAGCAUGCUUGGGCGAGGGCAGUACUAGGAUGGGUAACCCCUAGGGAAGUCCUCGUGUUGCAGCUA